This 591-nucleotide long non-coding RNA is filed under the name Linum usitatissimum (flax). RNAcentral's name for it is "long non-coding RNA (LUSI_LNC005478)". Lineage: Eukaryota; Viridiplantae; Streptophyta; Magnoliopsida; Malpighiales; Linaceae. The record is from RNAcentral.
UCAUGUGUCGUCGAUACUUGCUUUCGGCACAUAAACCAUUAUUUUGUUUUCUCCAUUAACCAUAUGAUCGGGAAAUAUUUGAGUGAUAUCGUCUCUCAUAAUGAUUAAUAAAAUAUGAACGUAAUUUUUUUGUGCAAUCAAACCACACAAAUACUUAGGUUGUAACCAAUUCUUUAGAGUCAAUCCAAAGACAUAUACCAUAAGUAACAAAACUAUAAUAUAAACCCAUCAAAAGCAUCAUCAUAAAUAUCUCUCCUUUACUACUUCCAAGAUCAGCACAAACAAUAGGAUUGCCAAAAAUUUGCCAAAGGAUUGAGGUUGCCCUGUUUUCUUUUUGUGAAGAAAGAAGAAGAAAACACCAACUUCAUAUCAUCUCACCAUACGUCGGGUUCAAGUCCCAACACCAACCACCCGGCUGUCACCCUCCUUUUCAUCUUUUUUUUCGGAUCAUGAACUUGAUAUUUUUUUCAUAUCGAUCGUAAAAGAAAUUUGCAAAUGAUAUUCUUUUCAUUUUUCUUCGUGGUCGUGAACUUGAUUUUCUUUCUCAUAUUGAUCGUGGAAGAGACUUAUGAUGAGUGAGAUGGUUUUGAG